Molecule: unclassified non-coding RNA, 352 nt
Filed under: soil metagenome
Description: partial contains 5.8S ribosomal RNA, internal transcribed spacer 2, and large subunit ribosomal RNA
Rfam family: 5.8S ribosomal RNA (bases 1-120)
Source: RNAcentral
GAUGAAGAACGUAGCGAAAUGCGAUAAGUAAUGUGAAUUGCAGAAUUCAGUGAAUCAUCGAAUCUUUGAACGCACAUUGCGCCCGCCAGUAUUCUGGCGGGCAUGCCUGUUCGAGCGUCAUUACAACCCUCAGGCCCCCGGGCCUGGCGUUGGGGAUCGGCGGAGCCCCCCGUGGGCACACGCCGUCCCCCAAAUGCAGUGGCGGUCCCGCCGCAGCUUCCAUCGCGUAGUAGCUAACACCUCGCGACUGGAGAGCGGCGCGGCCAUGCCGUAAAACACCCAACUCUUCUGAAGUUGACCUCGAAUCAGGUAGGAAUACCCGCUGAACUUAAGCAUAUCAAUAAGCGGAGGA